CCUUCUAGUGCCAGCUCUUCACCUUUCGGUCUUUUGGUUUGCCUUUGGCCCCGUCGCACGGCGGUCAUAGGUAAUAGAGGCCAGUCAGUCGCCGGUGUGCGUUGAACCGGAGGCGCCAAAGUAGCCACGCGGAUGAAGAGUGUAGAGGUCGAGCGUAUUUAUCGGGCGCCGGACGUUCGAUCCUGCCGUUCGUUUGGUGUAGUCUAGCUCGGUUCUUUGGAAGAGAGUAGUAAAGAUUAGCAGGGUAUCAACUGAGAACAAGUACUACCGCCCCUAGCUCCGUCGCAGACGCCGCCGCCGCCGCCUCCGGUCAGGCCACCUCCUCCCCUGCUGGUUGUUCUGCCACCACGACCAGCCGCACCUGCUGUCGCUGGUGUCGAUGGCGCGCGAGCUCACCCGGCACGCAAUGCACCGCCUCUGCCGGCCGGGGCCCCGCGGCCACCUCGAGCAGCAGCAGGUGCGGUUCGGCCGGCACAGGAGGCAGCAGUGCGAGCCGCCGGGGCGGCGGCGGCCCCUGCACCACUCCAUGCACCUGCGCCUGGACGCGUCCUCCCGGCUCCUCCAGCAGCUGUCCCGAGCGGCGGAGACGCGGCGGUUGAGCCACGUCCCUCACCACUUCCACUAGCUGCCCCUCGGCUCCAUGCACGAGACGUUGCGGCAGCUCUUCGUGGUGCGGCUGAACGAGCAGCAGCCGUCGGUACCGAUGCCGCGGUAGUUCUCCCGUAAAGAACCCUCGCACUCGCUGAUGACGCGGGUGGUGCGCGUGACGAGGCAGUACUAUCAGUUCGUCGGGUUCGGGUUCCUUACUAGCUAGCUGUAAAGGUCAAGCGGUCACAACCGUAACACGGUAAACGCACGGGUGCAUGACGUGACAUAGGGACAGAUUAAUGACAUGAGAUAAUUAAGCAACCUAGGAGGCUUGCAAAUAUGUAGCCACGGACUGUACUGCGAAACCCAAGUAGAAGACCACAGUAGCGGCAAACGGCGUGUACAAACGUGGUAAUUCGGCCGUUCAACUUUCUAACCCACAUGUAAAUAGAGAAGUCAACAGUAAAGCCCGGUAACGUAGUUACUAUUGUUUGCGGACCUGUCUCCACCCACUCUAACUAUGGAAAUUCGAUUCUCCUAUAAUGUACUGCUAUUACGUAAAAAAAAGCUCUCAUGCAGUUACUACACAAAAUAAAAAUAUCUUCCUCUCGUUUCAGUAAAUGUUCUUCAUACAGGGUUUACGCUUGUAAGCCC
RNAcentral lists this ribosomal RNA (1242 nucleotides) under Triticum aestivum (bread wheat). Its description in RNAcentral is "partial small subunit ribosomal RNA". The record is from RNAcentral. Lineage: Eukaryota; Viridiplantae; Streptophyta; Magnoliopsida; Poales; Poaceae.